Non-coding RNA from Heterorhabditis bacteriophora, 162 nucleotides. NCBI's taxonomy places the organism in Eukaryota, Metazoa, Nematoda, Chromadorea, Rhabditida, Heterorhabditidae. The record is from Rfam.
UAAUUUACUUGGAUGGGGGGAUCUCGUGAUCACAAAGGCGGGACCCCCACGGUGAGGCUUGUCCACUGCACUUCGGGACCGGCUGACCUAUGUGGCAGCUUCGAGUUGAAGUUCGCCAACAGCUAAAUUUUUGCGUGAGGGGCUGCGUUCACGCGACUUCAU